This 613-nucleotide ribosomal RNA is filed under the name uncultured bacterium. RNAcentral's name for it is "bacterial SSU rRNA". It matches the Rfam family "Bacterial small subunit ribosomal RNA", at positions 56 to 715 of the family's 1533-position model. The record is from RNAcentral.
UGCAGUCGAACGAAGUAGCAAUACUUAGUGGCAGACGGGUGAGUAACAUGUGGGUAUCUACCCUUUGGCCUGGAAUAACACGAGGAAACUUGUGCUAAUACCGGAUAAGUCUUUACGGAGAAAGCUUUAUGCACCAUUGGAUGAGCCCGCACUUGAUUAGUUUGUUGGUAGGGUAAUGGCCUACCAAGACUAUGAUCAAUAGCUGAUUUGAGAGGAUGAUCAGCCACAUUGGGACUGAGACACGGCCCAAACUCCUACGGGAGGCAGCAGUGGGGAAUCUUGCACAAUGGAGGAAACUCUGAUGCAGCGAUGCCGCGUGAGUGAAGAAGGCCUUUGGGUUGUAAAGCUCUUUCGUCGGGGAAGAAAAUGACUGUACCCGAAUAAGAAGGUCCGGCUAACUUCGUGCCAGCAGCCGCGGUAAUACGAAGGGACCUAGCGUAGUUCGGAAUUACUGGGCUUAAAGAGUUCGUAGGUGGUUGAAAAAGUUGGUGGUGAAAUCCCAGAGCUUAACUCUGGAACUGCCAUCAAAACUUUUCAGCUAGAGUAUGAUAGAGGAAAGCAGAAUUUCUAGUGUAGAGGUGAAAUUCGUAGAUAUUAGAAAGAAUACCAAUUG